UCUGAGGUGGAAGUGUGGCGACACAUGGAGCUGACAGAUACUAAUCGAUCGAGGACUUAACCUAA
Molecule: ribosomal RNA, 65 nt
Filed under: Bacillus sonorensis
Lineage: Bacteria; Bacillati; Bacillota; Bacilli; Caryophanales; Bacillaceae
Also listed under: 1 other name
Description: partial 23S ribosomal RNA
Source: RNAcentral